GAUGAACGCUGGCGGCGUGCUUAACACAUGCAAGUCGAACGGAAAGGCCCAAGCUUGCUUGGGUACUUGAGUGGCGAACGGGUGAGUAACACGUGGGUGAUCUGCCCUGCACUUCGGGAUAAGCCUGGGAAACUGGGUCUAAUACCGGAUAGGACGAUGGUUUGGAUGCCAUUGUGGAAAGUUUUUUCGGUGUGGGAUGAGCUCGCGGCCUAUCAGCUUGUUGGUGGGGUAAUGGCCUACCAAGGCGUCGACGGGUAGCCGGCCUGAGAGGGUGUACGGCCACAUUGGGACUGAGAUACGGCCCAGACUCCUACGGGAGGCAGCAGUGGGGAAUAUUGCACAAUGGGCGCAAGCCUGAUGCAGCGACGCCGCGUGGGGGAUGACGGCCUUCGGGUUGUAAACUCCUUUCGCUAGGGACGAAGCGUUUUUGUGACGGUACCUGGAGAAGAAGCACCGGCUAACUACGUG
RNAcentral lists this ribosomal RNA (468 nucleotides) under uncultured bacterium. Its description in RNAcentral is "partial 16S ribosomal RNA". It matches the Rfam family "Bacterial small subunit ribosomal RNA", at positions 28 to 507 of the family's 1533-position model. The record is from RNAcentral.